CCUACGGGUGGCUGCAGUGGGGGAUAUUGCACAAUGGGGGGAACCCUGAUGCAGCGACGCCGCGUGGGUGAAGAAGCGCCUCGGCGCGUAAAGCCCUGUCAGCAGGGAAGAAAAUGACGGUACCUGAAGAAGCAGCCCCGGCUAACUACGUGCCAGCAGCCGCGGUAAUACGUAGGGGGCAAGCGUUAUCCGGAUUUACUGGGUGUAAAGGGGGCGCAGGCGGCGAUGCAAGCCAGGAGUGAAAGCCCGGGGCUCAACCCCGGGGGUGCUCUGGGGACUGCGUGGCGGGAGUGCAGGAGGGGAAGGCGGAAUUCCAGGUGUAGCGGUGAAAUGCGUAGAUAUCAGGAGGAACACCGGUGGCGAAGGCGGCCUGCUGGACUGCAACUGACGUUGAGGCCCGAAAGCGUGGGGAGCAAACAGGAUUAGAUACCCGGGUAGUC
RNAcentral lists this ribosomal RNA (440 nucleotides) under uncultured bacterium. RNAcentral's name for it is "partial 16S ribosomal RNA". It matches the Rfam family "Bacterial small subunit ribosomal RNA", at positions 338 to 795 of the family's 1533-position model. The record is from RNAcentral.